This 1473-nucleotide ribosomal RNA is filed under the name uncultured Bordetella sp. Its description in RNAcentral is "partial 16S-23S ribosomal RNA intergenic spacer". It matches the Rfam family "Bacterial small subunit ribosomal RNA". Lineage: Bacteria; Pseudomonadati; Pseudomonadota; Betaproteobacteria; Burkholderiales; Alcaligenaceae. The record is from RNAcentral.
AGUUUGAUUCUACUCAGAUUGAACGCUGGCGGGAUGCUUUACACAUGCAAGUCGAACGGCAGCACGGACUUUUCGGUCUGGUGGCGAUAAGAACGGGUGAGCAAUGUAUCGAACGCUUCAGUAGCGGGGAUAACUACGCCGAAAGCGUAGCUGUAAUACCGCAUACGCGCCCUCGGGGGAAAGCGGGGACCUCUCGGCCUCGCACUAUUAGAGCGGCUGAUAUCGGAUUAGCUAGUUGGUGGGGUAACGCAGCUCACCAAGGCGACGAUCCGUAGCUGGUUUGAGAGGACGACCAGCCACACUGGGACUGAGACACGGCCCAGAUCUACGGGAGGCAGCAGUGGGGAAUUUUGGACAAUGGGGAAACCCUGAUCCAGCCAUCCCGCGUGUGCGAUGAAGGCCUUCGUCAGGAAGCAAUUUUGCAGGAAGAAACGGCACGGGAUAAUACUCCGUGCAACUGACGGUACCUGCAGAAUGGGGCGGACCGGCUAAUCAGCCAGCAGCCGCGGUAAUACGUAGGGUGCAAGCGUUAAUCGGAAUUACUGGGCGUAAAGCGGGCACAGGCGGUUCGGAAAGAAAGAUGUGGAACUUGUGAGCUUAACUUCUUUGGAACUGCAUUUUUAACUACCGAGCGAGUGUCAGAGGAGUGGAAUUCCGCGUAGCAGUGGAAUGCGUAGAUAUGCGGAGGAACACCGAUGGCGAAGGCAGCCUCCUGGGAUAACACCUGACGCUCAUGCACGAAAGCGUGGGAGCAAACAGGAUUAGAUACCCCGGUAGUCCACGCCCUAAACGAUGUCAACUAGCUGUUGGGGCCUUCGGGCCUUCGGUAGCGCAGCUAACGCGUGAAGUUGACCGCCUGGGGAGUACGGUCGCAAGAUUAAAACUCAAAGCAAUUGACGGGGACCCACACAAGCGGUGGAUGAUGGAUUAAUCGAUGCAACGCGAAAAAACUCCACAAUUUCACCUGAUAGCAACUGAAAUCCGGAAGAGAUUUGGGAGUGCCGCAUGAGAACCGGAACACAGGUGCUGUAUGGCUGCUGCCGCUCGUGUCGAGAUGUUGGGUUAAGUCCCGCAACGAGCAACCCUUUGUCAAGGAAGCUGCUGCUGAAAGGGCACUCUAUCGAGACUGCCGGUGACAAACCGAGGAAGGUGGGGAUGACGUCAGUUCCGCGGUCUCUUAUGGGUAGGGUCAACACGUCAUAUAGCUGUUUUGUCGGGACAGAGGGUCGCCAACCCGCGAGGGGGAGCCAAUCCAGAAACCCGAUCGUGGUCCGAUCGCAGUCUGCAACUCGACCGUGAAGUCGAAUCGCUAGCACCGCGGAUCAGCAGUCGUGGUGAAUACGUUCCCGGGUCUUGCAGACACCGCCCGGGUUACACCAUGGAGUGGGUUUUACCGCAGAAGUAGUUAGCCUAACCGUAAGGAGGGCGAUUACCACGGUAGGAUUCAUGAUCAGUAAGUCGUACCAAGGUGGC